UGGGGCAAUGGUGGAACUUUAUGAACUGGAGCCAUGAAAACAGAUACCAUUCUAUAAGGCUGAAAUUGGCUGAUUUCAAGGUUUCUGAGCUUAAGACAUCUAUUUACCAAAAUGGAAAGGAAGGAGAAUCCAUGAUGGCUCUCAGAAGUUUCUGCCCAGAUGUGAUACAUCAUGUUUACCCAUGUUGCAUUGGCCAAAGCAAGUCACACAGCUUAUCUUCAAAUGAGGUGUUUCCUUUCCACAGCCUUCACCCCAACCCUGUGCUACAACACGGAGUGCUAAGUCCUACUGGCCUUCAUGCCUAUACUUCAGUGGUCUUUUCUAGCCAUCACCUUCCUCUCCAGUUUGGUAAGAUGUCCCUCCUUUAUCCAUUACAGCACAAAUCACAUCAUAUCAUCGUUUCCUAAUGUCAUUUUUCAUGAUGGCAAAUCAGUCUCAUCUAUUAAAAAGCUAGUCUUCUUCUCUAAAAAUGUCUUUUAAUUAUGAAUUAUUCUUACAAAAGAAUAUGAUGCUUAUUAUUGCUUUAAAAGUCAACAUGAAGACAAAGAUGGAUAUAGACUGAUUAUUGGCAUUUUGACACCAGAUAUGCCUCCCUAAAAUCAGCUAAUUGCUUACUAACCCAGUCAAAGCCAAGCUAGAGCCCCACCCCUUUAGGUUGAUCAUAAACACAAAAUAAGACAUGGAUACAUAAAUUGUGGAUCUAUAUGUGAUUAUAAAUUUAUUACAUAAACAAUCAAGACUAUGCUUAUAUUUAAUAUUUUAAAAGAUAAUUAUCAAAGUGAACAUACUUAAUUUUUAUAGAGAUUUUUCCUAACCCAUAGAAUAUGUCUUUGGUCCCCCAAAGGUCUAAAUAUCCCACUUUGAGAAACAUUGUCCUGGAGAUUGGAUGAAACAGAAAAUAAGAAAAAUAAGAGCAGGAAGCUAACUAACUCACCUACAGCAUAAUGCUUUCACAGAAUUCUGAACUAACCAUAUGAAGAAAUGAUGGCUGACAGAUAAUUUGCAGAAAACCUCAAAAUAUACUGGACAUAAAAAGAUUUAUUCUGGAUUACAAGUAAAUGCCAACCAGACAAUCGAGACAGAUGUAAUUAACACAAACUGAAGAAGACAGAGAGAGUAAAGCAAUUUUUUUGGCAAAGGAUUAUUGCUUGAAAUCUUCUUCCUGCUAGGCAACACUGGACACUGAUUUGAUUUUUAUUGCAAUGCAGUGAUAACAAAGUCACAUAUCAUUAAGUUUCCACAGAGGACAUUGAAAAGAAAAGCCUCGUUCUUUUAGAUGCUGUUACUUAAACAUUGGUCUUUAGCCUGGGUCAAGAGAUUUCUCAGCCAGUUGACCGGCUUUCCAGAAGUAUUCAGAGUGGGCUCUCUAGGAAGUGCAUUUGGAGAAGGGAAAGGCACGGCUUGGCAAAACUAGGCCUAUGUGACUUCGCUAACUAUAGAACACUUCCAGUUUCAAGAAAUUCACAGAACUGGAUUCAGAGAAAGAACAGUGUAGAUACAUCCAAGCAUGGGCAUGUUUGUUCCUCUAAUCCUUUGCCUUUUGCGUGUUUAAUAAUUUUUUAAUAUACCACACAUGCAGUACUUUGUAAGUAAAACAAAAACAUAAAGGAUCUCUGCAGAGCAAUUCUAAAACCCCCUGAUAGCCUUCCACUAUUUUCUUCUGGGAUGGUAGCAAUCAUUCAAAUGGAAAAAAUGACCUUGUUUAAUACCUCAUUGAACAAGAAGACCCCUUGCCUAUAAAAAGCCAUAGUUCUAUUACCUCAAAAUCAGCUACUGCUUGACCACUGGGGCAGAUUAUUUUGAAUACUUUUCCCAAGAGGGCUUCUCAUUAAAAUGACUUUGCCUCAAGAGCUAAUGUAAAAACCUAUUUCACUCAUU
Microcebus murinus (gray mouse lemur) is the source of this 1878-nucleotide non-coding RNA. Lineage: Eukaryota; Metazoa; Chordata; Mammalia; Primates; Cheirogaleidae. The record is from RefSeq and is a predicted model, not a curated record.